Strigops habroptila (Kakapo) is the source of this 2460-nucleotide long non-coding RNA. RefSeq lists it as uncharacterized. The transcript is spliced from 2 exons. NCBI's taxonomy places the organism in Eukaryota, Metazoa, Chordata, Aves, Psittaciformes, Psittacidae. The record is from RefSeq and is a predicted model, not a curated record.
UUUAAGGUCCCUUCCAACCCCCCCCAUUCCAUGGCUCCAGUUAAAUAAGCUGAUCCUGGGCUGGCUGCAUAUAGAUCCUGUAGGUGUUAUAUAGGCUCAGCAGGCCACGUCAGCUUGUGGGCUGUAUAAAUUGACUUUGCAUUACAGAAGCCACAUUGGGCUCUCAAAAUUGUCCAGAGAAAAGUAUAUACCUACAUAAAUAGAAAAAUAGUAAUUCUGGAAGUAACACCUAAAGCACUGAUUUCCUGGAAGGUUUUUCUUCCUCAAUAUUGAUCUUUUUGUGUACUUGAAACACAGUUCUUAAGGGUGGAUAAAGAAAUCUUGAUUUGCACUGAAGCCAAGAGAUGGUCCAAAAUUACUGAAAUGUGUCACCCCAAAUGGAUGAAUUUCUAAUCUGCUUCAUAUAAUCAGAGAAAUGAACCCUCUAACAUUGGGAAUAUCUAGGAAAAGGAGCUAACUUUAGCUAUCCUGAUUUUGCUACGUGUGCUUCAGGCUUAAAAAAAACCACCCCCCAAUUAAUUGUGUGAACUGCAGAGUAAAUACCAUCGACAGAAAAGGAGGAUAGCACUAAUGCUAAACUCUAUAAUAAAUGAGGCUACAAAUCAGUUUAUUGGUGCCAAAUGUUUCCAGAGAGGUUCGUUUGGCCAAUGGCCCCAUGCAGCUCUUAUUCUGCAUUACAAAUAGGGAUUUCCCAAUCCAUGUGCUCAGUUUCCUUUUUCCCUUUUUAAUAAAAGGCUGGGAAAUGCUGCCACAGCAACCUCUGGCACAAUUCAGUGCAAGGGGGUGUUGAUGUGAGCUUAGAAAUUGUUCCCUUGUGGUAUCUAACAACUUAAAUCACCCUUUCAAAUAACCUAUUACACAACCCCUUUGCAGCAAGAUCUUGCCAUCUCGUUCUGGGUUGUGGCAGCAUUUAGCUGUCAGCUCCCUGAAGAUUAAGCUGUUUUGAAGUUGGUGUUGGAUUAUGGAGAGAUUUCCCAUAAUUGGGAAUUUCCCUUUGUCGUUCCACAUGGCAGAUUGUGUGUUUAUUUAGAGAGAAAUGUUAUUUACUACUUGCAGAGCAAAAUACAUCCCCUAGCCCCUUCUCACCCCUCUCCCUCCUCAGUCCUUUUGUAUUUGAUGUAACAGCAAAUUAGUGGUUAGAUAUUUUUGAUCUGGUUGUGUUGGGGGCGGGGGGAAUAAUGGGAUAAGAUGCGGUUGGAUACUCAAACAUUCCACUUUCCUGUGCUAACAGGCGAAAAGCAAAACAACCUGAACAGGCUGAAGGCAGAACUGUGUGUUUUGUCAGUUGCUUUCAUGAGCUUUCCUUUCCCCCAUGACCUGGUGUGUCUCUCUUCUGGCUUCCUGCUUUUUGCCAGUGCAGAGUCUCUUUAAAGGGUGUUAAAAUGCUGUUUGCACACCCCUGAAGCUGAGUGAUCUCUGUGGAUGAUGGGACUGGUGAAGCGUGCGUACGUACAGCUCUGAACUGCAGCUGAGAGCAGCCUUGUCAGAAGGACCCCAGAACACUCCAGCUGCUUGUGGUGCCUGGGACUCUGAGCAGGCCAAGAGGAGUUCCUGGAGGAAGGAGUCUGCUGUGUCUCCUUGUGGAUGUGGAGUCUCUUCCGUGCUCUUGACUGCCGCUUCCAUGAGCACUUAGCUGUGCUCUUUUCCUCACUGUUUCCUAAUGAGAUAUAUUUUCUUAAAUCUCAGUUUGUGCUGUACAAAGCUCUGAUGGCAUCUGGUCUGGAGGCCUGGCAUGAGUUUUCUGGCAAACGAUUCUGGACUUGCUUUAAUCCAGGCUCUGGCAAGCUCUUGUUAGUCCAUUCUUUGCCUGCUGCCACUUGCUUUUAUUAACAUGCAUGCCCUGUUCCCAGACAGAAUUUGGGAUGCUCCCUUUACCAGGCUGUACCUGUGCUCAGAAGCUUUCUGUGCAGUGUGGCCUUUCUCUUGUAAUCAACUUCAAAGGGUUUAACAGGGAACAUAAUCUGCCUGCAGAAGACUUGGCUUGUGAUACUCUUCUGCAUUACUGACAUGGCCUUGGGAAGUUCUGCAGGCAUCUGUCUGCUGCUGGAACCCUGCAGUCACCAGGGAGGGUGGAAUAAUUGAAUGGACUGUAGUGACAUAUGGAAUACCAGACAAGGAAUUCUUCUGGCUUGCCUUGUACUGCCCUCUUAAGUCAGGGGCUGCAGUGCCGUUUUGUAGGUGGAUUUCUCUCUAUCUCUCUACUCAGAUUUUGGUUAUUUUUCCCUCCAUGAUAUUUUCUUGCCUUUGCUGCUUCCAACUUUUGGCCUCGCUGGUUCCAUCUUGUAUGCAAAGCAAUUUAGCAGCUGCUAGACUUGUUAAUGCCUCUCCUUUGACUUUCCUCUGCCACAUUUCUGUAUGGAGCUUUGUUUCCCAUUAAUUAUUUCUGCUGGGUAAGUGCAGUCUAAACCCCAUCACUGGUGGAGUUUUAGUGGAAACAAAAAGGAGAGUGUUAAUAAAUCA